RNAcentral lists this long non-coding RNA (615 nucleotides) under Solanum tuberosum (potato). Its description in RNAcentral is "long non-coding RNA (STUB_LNC005069)". Lineage: Eukaryota; Viridiplantae; Streptophyta; Magnoliopsida; Solanales; Solanaceae. The record is from RNAcentral.
AAUCUCCACCACCACCGGUCUACAAGUACAAGUCUCCACCACCACCAACUCCAGUUUACAAGUACAAAUCUCCACCACCACCUGUCUAUAAAUACAAGUCUCCACCACCACCAACUCCGGUUUAUAAGUAUAAAUCUCCACCACCACCGGUCUACAAGUACAAGUCUCCACCACCACCAACUCCAGUUUACAAGUACAAAUCUCCACCACCGCCUGUCUAUAAGUACAAAUCUCCACCACCACCAACUCCAGUUUACAAGUACAAAUCUCCACCACCACCCGUUUAUAAGUACAAGUCUCCCCCACCACCCGUCUACAAGUACAAGUCUCCACCACCACCCGUUUACAAAUACAAGUCUCCACCACCUCCAGUCUACAAGUACAAAUCUCCACCGCCACCCGUCUACAAGUACAAGUCUCCACCACCUCCAGUCUACAAGUACAAAUCUCCACCGCCACCCGUCUACAAGUACAAGUCUCCACCACCUCCAGUCUACAAGUACAAAUCUCCACCGCCACCUGUUUACAAGUACAAAUCUCCUCCACCACCUCCUCCAGUUUACAAGUACAAGUCACCACCACCACCAGUUUACAAAUACAAGUCACCACCACCAC